This 255-nucleotide signal recognition particle RNA is filed under the name Phascolarctos cinereus (koala). RNAcentral describes it as "Metazoan signal recognition particle RNA (ENSPCIG00000002527.2)". It matches the Rfam family "Metazoan signal recognition particle RNA". Rfam says of the family: The signal recognition particle (SRP) is a universally conserved ribonucleoprotein. It is involved in the co-translational targeting of proteins to membranes. The record is from RNAcentral. Lineage: Eukaryota; Metazoa; Chordata; Mammalia; Diprotodontia; Phascolarctidae.
GCCAAGUGUGGUGAUACAUACCUGUAAUCUCAUAUACUGGGGAGGCUGAGGCUGUUGGGUCUCUUGAGAUCAGGAGUUCUGAGCUGCAGUGGGCUAUGCUGAUUGGGUGUCCUCAGUAAAUUUAGCAUUGAUAAGAUGAGUCCCCAGGAGCUGGGGACAAGUUUGCCUUAGGACCAUGUCGAAGGUUGUGUGUGAGUCAGACCUAUGAGUAGCCCCUGCUUUUCUAGCCUAGACAAGAUGGGGAGACACAGUCUU